RNAcentral lists this ribosomal RNA (217 nucleotides) under Clostridioides difficile. RNAcentral's name for it is "partial 16S ribosomal RNA". It matches the Rfam family "Bacterial small subunit ribosomal RNA", at positions 796 to 1012 of the family's 1533-position model. The record is from RNAcentral. Lineage: Bacteria; Bacillati; Bacillota; Clostridia; Peptostreptococcales; Peptostreptococcaceae.
CACGCUGUAAACGAUGAGUACUAGGUGUCGGGGGUUACCCCCUUCGGUGCAGUAGCUAACGCAUUAAGUACUCCGCCUGGGAAGUACGCUCGCAAGAGAGAAACUCAAAGGAAUUGACGGGGACACGAACAAGUAGCGGAGCAUGUGGUUGAAUUCGAAGCAACGCGAAGAACCUUACCUACGCUUGACAUCCCAAUGACAUCUCAUUAAUCGGAGA